Pygocentrus nattereri (red-bellied piranha) is the source of this 551-nucleotide long non-coding RNA. The record is from Ensembl. Lineage: Eukaryota; Metazoa; Chordata; Actinopteri; Characiformes; Serrasalmidae.
CAAGCGGUAGGGGCAACAGGUGAAAUGAGACUGGGCCUAAAUCUCCUGUGCAUUGUUCUCAACCAGUAAGUUUCCUUUGUUAGUUUCUUGCAAACUGCAUGCCUCUACAGAAUCUCCUGGAACUGUAUAGAAAUUAAGUGACUUUACAGGACAAAGAAACAAUGGACUUCAUCCGCCAACUAAAAACUAAUUUAAGAGAAAACUUAGGAAGAUAUUGAAAUUGCCCAGGAGGAACUGUUACCCCUUCAACAACAACAGGAAUUGACAAAUGGUGAGUAGACGCAGCAGUGACCCUGAUUUGGGUGCAGUGAUCUGGAGAAGAGGAGCUUCCUCAAAGAGCCCUUUAUGGAGGCCAGAUUGAUGAUGUAAUGGGCUAACAAAGGGCAAGCUUUGAGACGUUCUCCCCAUUACGCUUGAUCUACAAAACUGAGUUUCGGAAACUAGAGAGAAGUUCAGCGUGCUGAGCAUCUACACUGCUGUACAAAAGUUCAUUUGAACUAUGUUAUUUAAAUAGUUUAUACAAUUGAGAAUUAAGCCAAAUCAGAAACGAG